UACGUAGGGACCAAGCGUUGUUCGGAUUUACUGGGCGUAAAGGGCGCGUAGGCGGCAAAUUAAGUCAUCUGUGAAAUCUCCGAGCUUAACUCGGAACGGUCAGGUGAUACUGAUCUGCUAGAGUGCGGAAGGGGCAAUCGGAAUUCUUGGUGUAGCGGUGAAAUGCGUAGAUAUCAAGAGGAACACCUGAGGUGAAGACGGGUUGCUGGGCCGACACUGACGCUGAGACGCGAAAGCGUGGGGAGCGAACCGG
RNAcentral lists this ribosomal RNA (253 nucleotides) under uncultured bacterium. RNAcentral's name for it is "partial 16S ribosomal RNA". It matches the Rfam family "Bacterial small subunit ribosomal RNA", at positions 524 to 776 of the family's 1533-position model. The record is from RNAcentral.